This 403-nucleotide ribosomal RNA is filed under the name uncultured bacterium. Its description in RNAcentral is "partial 16S ribosomal RNA". It matches the Rfam family "Bacterial small subunit ribosomal RNA", at positions 28 to 526 of the family's 1533-position model. The record is from RNAcentral.
GACGAACGCUGGCGGCGUGCCUAAUACAUGCAAGUCGAACGCAGUGGGGACGGGUGAGUAACACGUGGGUAACCUCCCCUAAGAGGGGAUAACACUUGGAAACAGGUGCUAAACCGAUCCUGAUGGAUGGACCCGCGGUGCAUUAGCUAGUUGGUGAGGUAACGGCUCACCAAGGCGACGAUGCAUAGCCGAACUGAGAGGGUGAUGGGCAACACUGGGACUGAGACACGGACCAGACUCCUACGUGAGGCAGCAGGAGAGAAUCUACGGCAAUGGACGAAAGUGUGAACGAGCAAAGCCGCGUGAGUGAAGAAGGUUUUCGGAUCGUAAAACUCUGUGGUUAGAGAAGCGGUAUCUAACCAGAAAGCCACGGCUAACUACGUGCCAGCCGCCGCGGUAAUAC